CGAAGCGCGGGACGUCGCCGCCGACGCUAGGUAGCGCCACCGUUGAGGAGUCGACGGAAAAUUCAAUCCCUCGCGACUCGUGAUUUUCAUCUUUCAAAUUGAAUUAUAUUACUGGCGGGCGGCGGCAUUGCCAUUCCGGCACUUUAGUAUUUAAUUUUAUACUUUGGAAUUUGAUGGGAUUCUGGUACGAAAAUAUUGGACGGUGUUUACUGUUUAAAUAUUUAUGUUAUCGUUACCUAUUAUAUUUCAAAAUUGUUUACUCAUUUGUCGUUAGUCGUUCUUCAUCGAUACUCGUUACUAUUAAUUAAAUCGAAAACCGCCGACGUAUUAGAGUUAUUGGUGCGGACAAUGUGCAGGUCGUAUUAUUAGGUAUAUUAUGCAUAUUACGCCGCGUAUAAGGUAUAUACUAGUUGUGCGUACCUAUACGAUAUUACAACGGCGAAAGCGCGUAAGGUCGACAGCGGUUGCUUAUAGCGGCGAUUGGGAGGGGGAGACUUUCACAGUUUCACGCAUUAUAUUUCGUUCGCUUUUGAUACAGACCCAGUUAAUAGUUUUGUGACUUGUUCGGUGCUAUUAUGUGUAUCGUCCACUCCCGACGUAAUCGUGAUUAUCAAUGUAGGUACUAGAUAGUAACAGGUGUUUGCUAGAUAACCGUGAGGAUCGUGAGAAAUAACGGUGAAUGCAUUACGCAGGUACCGAAUAGUGACUGACUACCCUACAGAUCAUUUUAUUCCUAAUUAAUAUAUUAUAACAAUUUAUAAAUUAAUUUUAUAAUAUAUAUAUAUAUAUGUGUACAGAUUAUAGGAAGUUUAAUAGUUAAUAAUAAUUUUAAAAAGUCAAGUUAUAUCAAUGGAUAAUCUUUCGAUCCUGGAUACUCAUAUAUUAGCGUCAUCCGGUCCACCAUAGUCGACGAUGUUAUUGUUUUUUUUCCAAAAAUGGUCGUGCAAAAAUUCUUUAAUAUCCGGUUUCCAGACUCCACGAGCGGAACGGGACAUACCGGACGUGCAUCAUGCUUACAUCCCCAUAAUAGAUAUAUGUGAACAAAUUGGUGAAAAUAGGAAGGAGUAGUUACUAUUGCAUCGAAGACUUGGUCCUCUAAAAAUAUUCGUCUCCGUGUCGAAUAUAUAAAAUGUACCUUUCAAGUUACAACACGGCAAUUAAUAUUCUUUGUUGUAAUUAUGUUUUAUUUAUUAUUUUCUAUAAUAUAUUUUGUUAAUGUUUU
RNAcentral lists this long non-coding RNA (1222 nucleotides) under Rhopalosiphum maidis (corn leaf aphid). RNAcentral's name for it is "uncharacterized LOC113551364, transcript variant X2". The record is from RNAcentral. Lineage: Eukaryota; Metazoa; Arthropoda; Insecta; Hemiptera; Aphididae.